Long non-coding RNA from Temnothorax curvispinosus, 415 nucleotides. RefSeq lists it as uncharacterized. The transcript has 3 exons. NCBI's taxonomy places the organism in Eukaryota, Metazoa, Arthropoda, Insecta, Hymenoptera, Formicidae. The record is from RefSeq and is a predicted model, not a curated record.
CGUGUUCGCGCGAGGACGCGCGGAGCCGAGAUUCGAGGCCGAGGCGACGGGCGAGAGAGAGAGAGAAAGAGAAAGAGUGUGUGAGGGGGCCACGAUCCUUCCCCCGGGCUCCCACAACCCUCGUGCGCGCAUCGUGUGCAUGCCGCCGUCGCCGCGCCACCGCCACCGUCACCACCGCCGUGGGGGUUGCCGCCGUAAAUGGUGCCGAGCCCCGCGACCCCGCGACCCCAUCCACCCGCGAGCCAGGUGGGAGCAACGGCGGAUUCCCUCGGCGUCCCUCUCACUUCGGCGACCUGCAUGAAGGGCACCAGAUAGGGCCUCGUAAGAAUGAGGCGGACCGAUCAUGACGGCCACGUCGCGCGGCAGGGUCCGCCGCCCUUCAAGGUGCUGGCCGUCCCCGACAGCAUGUACUUGU